UACGUAGGGGGCUAGCGUUGUCCGGAUUUAUUGGGCGUAAAGAGCGUGUAGGCGGCCAGGUAGGUCUGCUGUGAGAACUCGAGGCUCAACCUCGAGACGUCGGCGGAAACCAUCUGGCUAGAGUCCGGAAGAGGAGAGUGGAAUUCCUGGUGUAGCGGUGAAAUGCGCAGAUAUCAGGAAGAACACCCGUGGCGAAGGCGGCUCUCUGGGACGGUACUGACGCUGAGACGCGAAAGCGUGGGGAGCGAACAGG
RNAcentral lists this ribosomal RNA (253 nucleotides) under uncultured bacterium. RNAcentral describes it as "partial 16S ribosomal RNA". It matches the Rfam family "Bacterial small subunit ribosomal RNA", at positions 524 to 776 of the family's 1533-position model. The record is from RNAcentral.